UACGUAGGGGCCGAGCGUUGUCCGGAGUUAUUGGGCGUAAAGCGCGCGCAGGCGGCCUCGCGCGCCCGACGUGAAAGCCCCCGGCUUAACCGGGGAGGGUCGUUGGGGACGGCGGGGCUUGAGGGCGGGAGAGGUCGGUGGAAUUCCCGGUGUAGUGGUGAAAUGCGUAGAGAUCGGGAAGAACAUCGGUGGCGAAGGCGCUCUACUGGACCACAACUGACACUCAGGGACGAAAGCUAGGGGAGCGAAUGGG
This 253-nucleotide ribosomal RNA is filed under the name uncultured bacterium. Its description in RNAcentral is "partial 16S ribosomal RNA". It matches the Rfam family "Bacterial small subunit ribosomal RNA", at positions 524 to 776 of the family's 1533-position model. The record is from RNAcentral.